GAAACACAGAAGUUAAUAAAACAGACAAGGACCCUGCCACGUGAAGCUUGCAUUUUAUUGGAAGAAGAAAAAUAUUAAACAAAUAAAUACAAUAAAGACGUAUAUAAUAGCAUAGUAUCAGAUAAUGAUAGUUGAUUUUAAGAAAAUGAAACAGGAUAACAGAAUGGACAGUGAGGGCAGGUAUUUGAUUAGGAUGGUUGAAGAAGACCUCUCUGAGAAGAUAACAUUUGAAUAGAGGUGUGGAUGAUAGAAAGAAGCUGGCCAGGAAAAAGGGAUGGAAGAACAGCUUUCUGGACAGAGAGACCAGCUAGUGACGAGGCUUAAUAGAAAGAGUUUGACAUGGAGCAGGACGGGCAAGGAAAUUAACGAAGCCCAGGCAAGCAUGCUGGCUAAUGAGAGAUCAAGACCCUGUCAUCCCAGACACUUCUGCUGCCGUGAUCAACAGCCUGCUAACUGCCAGUAUACGAGCUACCACCUGACUCCCCAGCUAGACACAGUGCUAAGUCUUCAUGCCUGGAAUAAUGUCUUGUAGACAUAGAAGACAGAAGACAGUCAAUUUGAGAGUGGAUGGUGAAGGAAUAGGUGGCUGAAUCUUUGCACAUUGUUAGGAUAUCAUCUGGCUCAUUAUUUUCAGUGUCUCUGGACACUGAUAAGCACUUUCUAAGAACGCUGCUGGAAGGGUAGGAGAGGUUUGGAGGGGAUCUCCUCUCAUUACACCAUUCGCCCAUACACAGUACACACAUGUAUUAACUGAUAUCAGAAGAAAGCAGCUGAAGAUCUGCUUCCAGAUGUCUCAGUGGGGAAACACAGUCCCAAUGCAGAAUAAAAACCCCAUUGAGCAUAGGUACAGCCCAAUAAAUGGUAGUUACUUUUCCCCCCAAAGACUUUUUUUUAAAAUCAGUUGUAGGGUCACAAGAAAUGAGCAGGAAGUAUAGAGUUUCCAUAUACCCCUUCCCCUGCCAACCUCCUCCACUACCAACAUCCUCAUUAGAGAGGUACAUUUGUUACAACUGACGAACCUACAUUGACACAUCAUUACCACCCAAAGUCCAUAGUUUACAUUACAGCUCACUCUUAGGGUUGUACAUUCUAUGGGUUUGGACAAAUAUAUGACUACAUGUAUCCACCAUUGCAGUAUCACACAGGAUAGUUUCACUGCCCUAAAAAUCUCCCUUGCUCCACUUUUUUUGCCUUUCCUCCUAACCUCAGGUAACCACUGAUCCUUUUACUAUCUCCACAGUUUUGCCUUUCCCAGAAUGUCAUAUAGUUGGAAUCAUACAGUAUGUAGACAUUUUCAGAUUGGCUUCUUUCAUUUAGCAAUAAUGCAUUGAAGUUUCUUCCUUGUCUUUUCAUGGCUUUAUAAAGUUAUAGAGUUAUAACUCAUUUAUUUUUAGUACUGAAUAACAGCUCCUUGUUUUGAUGUACCACAGUUUAUGUAUCCAUUCCUCUUCUGAAGGACAUCUUGCUUGCUUCCAGCAAUUAUAAAUAAACAUCCAUAUGCAGGUUUUUAUGUGUAUAGUUGCCUUUUUAAAUUUGUUUUUGAAUUAUUUGCUUAAACUCAGAGGCAAAAACAUAUAAUCCCUCACAUUUUGGAGUUAGACAACUUCUGCCCAGUGCUGCCAAUUAUUGGUCAUAUAAUCUCAAGCAAUUUAUUUUUUCUUUCUUGACUUUGCAUGAUCAAGCAUCUGCAUAAGGAAGAAACUAGAACCAUGGUUAAGAAGGUUUUUCUGAAAUUAGAAGAAGUAAUGCUUAAAAAGUAAUGACAGGUGUCAUGUAUGAUCACUGGCUAGAACAGUUAUAAGAAGUUAUCAUGAAUGAUAAAAAUUACCACUGAAAAUAGUUAUCGGUAAUGCUAACAUUAGCAUUGUUAUUAAUUACUAAUAUUAAAAUUAUUAUUUUAAUGCUAAUAGUUGUUACAAGUGAUAAUAGCUAUUAAUUGUUAUAGUUAACAUUAAUGAUAAUAUUUGUAAGUCCUUAAGAUGUACUAGUCAACAUUCUCAGUGCUGUCCAUGUAGUAACUCUUCACUCUUACUGUAAGUGGUUGGUUCUAUGUAUUAUACAGGUGAGGAAAUUAAGACCCAAAGAGUCUAAGUAACUUCUCUAAAGUUCUAAAACUAGUAAUUUGCCAGAGCUGGAAUUUGAAUCUGCCUCUAAAAUCUGUGCUUUUAGUAGAGAAUAUAAUUCAUAAUAAAUAUUAAAUUAGUUU
This 2206-nucleotide long non-coding RNA is filed under the name Homo sapiens (human). RNAcentral describes it as "HSALNT0192930". The record is from RNAcentral. Lineage: Eukaryota; Metazoa; Chordata; Mammalia; Primates; Hominidae.